GGAAGCUCACCUGGAGGGUCCAGGGCUCAGGGAACCUUUGUUCAGGGCUCUCAAAACACCUGGCUUUGAGGCUUACAGGGAACAGGGAACCCAGCUUCAGUGUGCAAGGGGCCCCGCUCCUGCCUCUGCGGGAGCCCACCCUGCAAGAGAAGAGGCCCUCACUCCCCCUUGCAGUGUGUGGGUCCUGGGUGAGGUCUCUGCCUCCUCCUGCCUUCACACCUCUGCCCCAUUUCUUGCCUACCUCUCCCUCCCCUCCUGCAUACUGAGCUCUUGGACAAUUGGGCUCUUCCUGGCCCUCCGGGGCCUGCAGCCUGGGGCUCCUCGGCUGUGACCCCCCAGGAAUGACCCAGGCUAACCUUGGCCUCAGUCCCCGAUGAGGGGGCAGGAGCUUCUACAUGCAGCCUGCUCAUUGUUCGUUUCCAAGUGUGCUUUCUCAUUUCCAUGUUCUCUCUUGAUGUGUGAGUGAUUUAGAUUUAUUUCUUUGAUUUCUAGAUUUAAAUUAUUGCCGGUUUCUGGCUUACUUGUGCUGUUGCCAGAAGCCCCGGUUCAAGCUGUUCUUGGUGAGGUUCUCUGGUGCUUGCUGGGGCUGGCCGGAGGGCUGACUCUGGCUCCGUCCCCACAGUGCAGGUGCCCUGGUGGGACACGCAGCCCUGAUGCUGCCGGAAGUGCUCCUCCGUGGCCGCGAGGUCAGCAACUCCUGCAGGCCUUAGUCAUUCUCUUGAUCUUCAGUUAUCGAGGUGUGUGCGUGUGUGUGCACGUGCACGCCUGUGUACGCAAACAGUGGUGUCAGUUUCUUGUAUCCGUUUAUCCAUCUUAGAUGUUUAGGGCUGUACUAUCACAUGGGCACAUACUUAGAUAACACGAAAGCUUGGCUUUAUAAGUAUGAGGCAGGUUUCACUUCUAGAUAUACACAGAGAAUCCUCUAUCUUCCACGAAUACCCUGAGUCUCCGUCCUCCUGCCUUGUGAACACGCAGUGCUCAGUGGAAUCGCUUGGUCUAUCCUUUCCAUUCUUUUCCCUUGAAACUUCAUGGGCUUUGCCUCCCAGGUGCCCCUGGCGCAGUGGUGGGUGGUGGGUUUGGUCUUUGUCUUCCCGGUGUCUGCGUUCGCACUCAGCACCACAGCGCCCCCUCUCUGCGGUUCCCAGUCAGCACCACAGCGCCCCCCCCUGCGUUCGCACUCAGCACCACAGCGCCCCCUCUCUGCGGUUCCCAGUCAGCACCACAGCGCCCCCUCUCGGGGGUGUUCUCCUGCCUGCCUUUGCUCUUCUCCCACCUUCUUCUGGAUUGCUCUAUCACG
RNAcentral lists this long non-coding RNA (1297 nucleotides) under Marmota monax (woodchuck). Lineage: Eukaryota; Metazoa; Chordata; Mammalia; Rodentia; Sciuridae. The record is from RNAcentral.